AUUGUUGGGGAGCAAAGUGGGGCACGCGUGCCUAAUUGCAUUUACCCUUCGAAUAAGGACCGGCUAAUUCCGUGCCAGCAGCCGCGGUAAUACGGAAGGUCCAGGCGUUAUCCGGAUUUAUUGGGUUUAAAGGGAGUGUAGGGGUCUGUUAAGCGUGUUGUGAAAUUUAGGUGCUCAACAUUUAACUUGCAGCGCGAACUGGCGGACUUGAGUGCACGCAACGUAUGCGGAAUUGAUGGUGUAGCGGUGAAAUGCUUAGAUAUCAUGACGAACUCCGAUUGCGAAGGCAGCGUACGGGAGUGUUACUGACGCUUAAGCUCAGGUGCGGGUAUCGAACAGGAUUAGAU
Molecule: ribosomal RNA, 347 nt
Filed under: Prevotella intermedia
Lineage: Bacteria; Pseudomonadati; Bacteroidota; Bacteroidia; Bacteroidales; Prevotellaceae
Description: bacterial SSU rRNA
Rfam family: Bacterial small subunit ribosomal RNA
Source: RNAcentral